GACGAACGCUGGCGGCGUGCUUAACACAUGCAAGUCGAACGGUGAAGCGCCUUCCUUUUUGGUGGGUGUGGAUGAGUGGCGAACGGGUGAGUAACACGUGAGUAACCUGCCCCCUUCUUCUGGAUAACCGCAUGAAAGUGUGGCUAAUACGGGAUAUUCUGGGUCUGUCGCAUGAUGGGUCUGGGAAAGAUAUUGUUUCGGUGGGGGAUGGGCUCGCGGCCUAUCAGCUUGUUGGUGGGGUGAUGGCCUACCAAGGCGGUGACGGGUAGCCGGCCUGAGAGGGUGGCCGGUCACACUGGGACUGAGACACGGCCCGGACUCCUACGGGGGGAAGAAGUGGGGAAUAUUGAACAAUGGGCGCAAGCCUGAUGCAGCGACGCCGCGGGAGGGAUGGAGGCCUGCGGGUUGUGAACCUCUUUCGCCAGUGAAGCAGGCCUGCCUCGUUUGUGGGUGGGUUGACGGUAGCUGGAUAAGAAGCGCCGGCUAACUACGUG
Molecule: ribosomal RNA, 494 nt
Filed under: uncultured bacterium
Lineage: Bacteria
Description: partial 16S ribosomal RNA
Rfam family: Bacterial small subunit ribosomal RNA
Source: RNAcentral